UACGGGGGGGGCAAGCGUUGUUCGGAAUUACUGGGCGUAAAGGGUUCGUAGGUGGCCGACUAAGUCAAACGUGAAAUCCCUCAGCUUAACUGGGGAACUGCGCCUGAUACUGGUCGGCUUGAGUGCAGGAGAGGAACGCGGAAUUCCAGGUGUAGCGGUGAAAUGCGUAGAUAUCUGGAGGAACACCGGUGGCGAAGGCGGCGUUCUGGACUGCAACUGACACUGAUGAACGAAAGCCAGGGGAGCAAACGGG
This 253-nucleotide ribosomal RNA is filed under the name uncultured bacterium. RNAcentral describes it as "partial 16S ribosomal RNA". It matches the Rfam family "Bacterial small subunit ribosomal RNA", at positions 524 to 776 of the family's 1533-position model. The record is from RNAcentral.